GUGGCGGCAGGCUUAACACAUGCAAGUCGAGCGCCCCGCAAGGGGAGCGGCAGACGGGUGAGUAACGCGUGGGAAUCUACCGAGCCCUGCGGAAUAGCUCCGGGAAACUGGAAUUAAUACCGCAUACGCCCUACGGGGGAAAGAUUUAUCGGGGUUUGAUGAGCCCGCGUUGGAUUAGCUAGUUGGUGGGGUAAAGGCCUACCAAGGCGACGAUCCAUAGCUGGUCUGAGAGGAUGAUCAGCCACAUUGGGACUGAGACACGGCCCAAACUCCUACGGGAGGCAGCAGUGGGGAAUAUUGGACAAUGGGCGCAAGCCUGAUCCAGCCAUGCCGCGUGAGUGAUGAAGGCCCUAGGGUUGUAAAGCUCUUUCAACGGUGAAGAUAAUGACGGUAACCGUAGAAGAAGCCCCGGCUAACUUCGUGCCAGCAGCCGCGGUAAUACGAAGGGGGCUAGCGUUGUUCGGAAUUACUGGGCGUAAAGCGCACGUA
This 489-nucleotide ribosomal RNA is filed under the name marine sediment bacterium ISA-7223. Its description in RNAcentral is "bacterial SSU rRNA". It matches the Rfam family "Bacterial small subunit ribosomal RNA", at positions 36 to 573 of the family's 1533-position model. The record is from RNAcentral.